UACGGAGGAUCCGAGCGUUAUCCGGAUUUAUUGGGUUUAAAGGGUGCGCAGGCGGGAGAUUAAGUCGGCGGUGAAAUUUUGCAGCUCAACUGUAAAAGUGCCUUCGAAACUGGUUUCCUUGAGUGUGGAUGAAGUAGGCGGAAUUUGUGGUGUAGCGGUGAAAUGCAUAGAUAUCACGAGGAACUCCGAUUGCGCAGGCAGCUUACUAAACCACUACUGACGCUCAUGCACGAAGGCGUGGGGAUCAAACAGGAUUAGAUACCCCCGUA
RNAcentral lists this ribosomal RNA (269 nucleotides) under uncultured prokaryote. Its description in RNAcentral is "partial 16S ribosomal RNA". It matches the Rfam family "Bacterial small subunit ribosomal RNA", at positions 524 to 792 of the family's 1533-position model. The record is from RNAcentral.